GACGAACGCUGGCGGCGUGCCUAAUACAUGCAAGUAGAACGCACAGUUUAUACCGUAGCUUGCUACACCAUAAACUGUGAGUUGCGAACGGGUGAGUAACGCGUAGGUAACCUGCCUGGUAGCGGGGGAUAACUAUUGGAAACGAUAGCUAAUACCGCAUAAUAUUAAUUAUUGCAUGAUAAUUGAUUGAAAGAUGCAAUUGCAUCACUACCAGAUGGACCUGCGUUGUAUUAGCUAGUAGGUGAGGUAACGGCUCACCUAGGCGACGAUACAUAGCCGACCUGAGAGGGUGAUCGGCCACACUGGGACUGAGACACGGCCCAGACUCCUACGGGAGGCAGCAGGAGGGAAUCUUCGGCAAUGGACGAAAGUCUGACCGAGCAACGCCGCGUGAGUGAAGAAGGUUUUCGGAUCGUAAAGCUCUGUUGUAAGAGAAGAACGGGUGUGAGAGUGGAAAGUUCACACUGUGACGGUAUCUUACCAGAAAGGGACGGCUAACUACGUG
This 505-nucleotide ribosomal RNA is filed under the name uncultured bacterium. RNAcentral's name for it is "partial 16S ribosomal RNA". It matches the Rfam family "Bacterial small subunit ribosomal RNA", at positions 28 to 507 of the family's 1533-position model. The record is from RNAcentral.